AGGGUUUAAGCAGCAUGUAUUCUCAAUUUGGCGCACUACAGAAGAUUGGCAUGGCCCCUGUGCAAGGAUGACACACCAAUCCAUGAGACGUUUUAAAAAGAA
Molecule: small nuclear RNA, 102 nt
Organism: Hemiscyllium ocellatum (epaulette shark)
Lineage: Eukaryota; Metazoa; Chordata; Chondrichthyes; Orectolobiformes; Hemiscylliidae
Source: RefSeq, a predicted model, not a curated record